This 141-nucleotide ribosomal RNA is filed under the name uncultured bacterium. RNAcentral describes it as "partial 16S rRNA". It matches the Rfam family "Bacterial small subunit ribosomal RNA", at positions 355 to 511 of the family's 1533-position model. The record is from RNAcentral.
UGGGGAAUUUUCCGCAAUGGGCGAAAGCCUGACGGGGCAAUGCCGCGUGGAGGUGGAAGGCCUACGGGUCGUCAACUUCUUUUCUCGGAGAAGAAACAAUGACGGUAUCUGAGGAAUAAGCAUCGGCUAACUCUGUGCCAG